This 500-nucleotide ribosomal RNA is filed under the name uncultured bacterium. Its description in RNAcentral is "partial 16S ribosomal RNA". It matches the Rfam family "Bacterial small subunit ribosomal RNA", at positions 30 to 523 of the family's 1533-position model. The record is from RNAcentral.
AUUGAACGCUGGCGGAAUGCUUUACACAUGCAAGUCGAACGGCAGCACGGACUUCGGUCUGGUGGCGAGUGGCGAACGGGUGAGUAACAUAUCGGAACGUAUCCAAUAAUGGGGGAUAACUAAUCGAAAGGUUGGCUAAUACCGCAUACGCCCUACGGGGGAAAGCAGGGGAUCUUCGGACCUUGCGUUAAUGGAGCGGCUGAUAUCUGAUUAGCUAGUUGGUGAGGUAAAGGCUCACCAAGGCGACGGUCAGUAGCUGGGCUGCGAGGACGACCAGCCACACUGGAGCUGAGACACGGUCCAGACUCCUAGGGGAGGCAGCAGUGGGGAAUUUUGGACAAUGGGCGCAAGCCUGAUCCAGCCAUUCCGCGUGAGUGAAGAAGGCCUUCGGGUUGUAAAGCUCUUUCGCAAGGGAAGAAAACGUACUUUCUAAUAGGGAGUGAGGUUGACAGUACCUUGAUAAGAAGCACCGGCUAACUACGUGCCAGCAGCAGCCGCCG